Molecule: ribosomal RNA, 301 nt
Filed under: uncultured bacterium
Lineage: Bacteria
Description: partial 16S ribosomal RNA
Rfam family: Bacterial small subunit ribosomal RNA
Source: RNAcentral
CAGUCGCCGCGGGAAUACGUAGGUGGCGAGCGUUGUCCGGAUUUAUUGGGCGUAAAGCGAGCGCAGGCGGUUAGAUAAGUCUGAAGUUAAAGGCUGUGGCUUAACCAUAGUACGCUUUGGAAACUGUUUAACUUGAGUGCAAGAGGGGAGAGUGGAAUUCCAUGUGUAGCGGUGAAAUGCGUAGAUAUAUGGAGGAACACCGGUGGCGAAAGCGGCUCUCUGGCUUGUAACUGACGCUGAGGCUCGAGAGCGUGGGGAGCAAACAGGAUUAGAUACCCCUGUAGUCCCUGUCUCUUAUACA